This 2601-nucleotide long non-coding RNA is filed under the name Homo sapiens (human). RNAcentral describes it as "HSALNT0297151". Lineage: Eukaryota; Metazoa; Chordata; Mammalia; Primates; Hominidae. The record is from RNAcentral.
UGUAAUGUCAGCCACACUUCUCAAUGCUAAGUACUUGGUCCUCAGCUCAAUCCUUAUUCUCUAAAAGAGGAUCAAGAGUACCUGGAUUCUAAUGUAGAGAAUACUCUAUGUGAGCAGAUAUAAGCAAUGAAUUUGUCUGAUACUCAUUCUUUUUUUUUCCAAGAAAUACUUUUUAAGGCUUAAAGAUGUAUCAUUUAACAGGAAAGACAAAAUUUUCUGCUCUUGUGCAGUUUAUACUCUGUUGAGUAGAACUUAUAUUCAUCAUGUUAGGGACAAAGAGAAAAACUAGCACUAAUUAUCUGCUUGAGAUAACUGCUAUGCUCCAGUAGUUUAAGAUGAAAUCCGUGGUCCAGUCAUCUGGAAUUUAGAAGAUCCAUUACCAUCACACUUCACAGAAAAGCAAUCAGCCACUAGUUAGUAAUUUUUGUUCUUCACAUUGGUUAGUUGAACAAACACCUCUGUCUUUUUCAAUGCUAAUCUAUGGUGAACACACCUACAGUAAUGUCAGCAAACAAAUUAAAAUGUAGUAGGACAAAUAAUCACUUUUAAUGUUUUUCAUGUUCUGUUAGUAUAAAAUCUCUAACUACUUUUAUUAUACAUGAUAAUAUAUGAUGUUUAAUAUUUCUUCUAUAUUUAUCAUGUUUUAUUUGCACAAGAGCUUUAAAAUGUACUUUUCUUUCAGUGUGUGUUCCCUGGUACAAAGGCACUUCAAAACGCAAUUUUAUUUUUAAUGUAAAAGUAAUGCCACCCAUUUUGUAAGCACAUAUAGCAUAAUACUUCCAAUGAACAAAACAACAAAAAACGUGAUCUAUGAGUAAAGACCACACAUAUAUUUACAGAAGGAAACCAUUACUCUAGAUUUCAAAGAGUUAUCUUUUGACUGGCUUUACAAGAUGACAUUAUUUGGAGAUGACUAUAAGAUGGGAAAAAGAGGCAGAAAUAUCAAAGUUCCAUAGUUGAAAAAAAAUUACAUGCACAAAGACAAAUACACAGAUGUAAAAACAUACACAGACACAGACAUAUAUAUGUGUGUGACAUUAUCAGGAAGCAAUACUAACACUUUCAUGUUUCUGCAGUGUAUUUGUUUCCUGUUUCUACCUAACAAAUUAUCACAAAUUUAGUGGCUUAAACAUUAUACAAUUAUGUUAAAGUUUUGCAAGUCAGAAGUCUGAUGGAUGUCACUAUGCUACAAUCAAAAAGUGUCAGCAGGACUGAGUUCUUCCUGGACACUAUAGUGGAGGCCCUAUUUCUGUGUUUUUUUUUUUGCAGUUUCUAGAGUACCCCACAUUCCUUGCCAUGUGACCCCAUUUCUAUAACUUCAAAGUCAGCAGGGUUGCGAUGGGUCUUUUUCUCAGUCUUGCAUUUAUCUGGUUCUCUGUCUUCUGCCUCCCAUUUCUACUUAUAAGAAUUACUGUGAUUAUGUCUGGGUCACCUGGAUAAUCCAGAAUAGUCUCCCCAUUAAGGAGGCUAUCAUAUAGUAUUUUUUAAUUAGCAACCUUAAUUCCAUCUCCAAGUUUACUAAGUAACCUAGCAUAUUCACAUUUUCAAGCAUUAAAAUGUUGACAUUUGGGGGGCCACUAUUCUGCUUACAUAUUCAUGGUUAGGGCUUUCUGUGCAAAAAAAAAAAAAAAAAUGAUGGGUUAUAAAGAUUCUGAAUGUUUUUCCACAGGCCCAUUUGCUUUUUACAUCCUACUGGUGUUUAACCUGGAGUCUUUUGCUAUUUUACGAAGAGUAUUGAAACAUGUCUCUCUGGAGUCAAAUAUUUCAUUUCAGACACCUCCCUUUAUGAUGUCAAUCUAAGGGCUGAGCUAAGGGAAAUAAAUGUGAUUAUUGUUAUGAGGGCAUACAGUGAGAUGGCAGCAGCCUGUAAGCCAGAAACAGAAGCAUCACCAGAAACUGACCAUGCUGGUACCCUAAUCUCAGACUUCCAGAUUUCUGAAGAACUUCAAAGAAACAAAAGUCUAUUGUUUAAGCCACCUAGUCUGUCACAUUUUGUUAUGGCAAUGUGAGCUAACUAAUACACUACCUUUAAAAUAUAAACUAAUAAGCACGGUCUUAAGUUAAUAUGACUCAUGCUAGGGGACCUACAGACAUAGCAUACUCUAACAGCAGAGCAGAGAAAAGCUUAGCCGAUUUUGGGAAUAAAAAGAAAACAUGUGUUUUGUAGGAUAUUAUGCCUAAGCUAUAUCUUAAAUGGUAAGAAUUCACCAGGAGCAAAAUGUUAGGAAUUUCUUGUCAGAAGAAAUAAUGUAAGCAAAAGCAUCACUAUUCACAGCAAACCCAAACUGGCUGAUAUCUGUGAUAGGCAAAAUUCUAAGAUGGCCUCUAAUGUGGUUUGGCUGGGUCCCCACUCAAAUCUCAUCUUGAAUUGUACCUCCCAUAAUUCCAACAUGUUGUGGGAGGAACCCGGUGGGAGAUAAUUAAGUCAUGGAGGUUGAUUCCCCCAUAGUGUUCUCACAGUAGUGGGUUAAGUCUCACAAAAUCUGAUGAUUGUAUAAGGGAAAACCCCUUUUGCUUUCCUCUCAUUCUGUCUUGUCUGCUGCCAUGUAAGACAUGCCUUUAGGCUUCCACUAUGAUUGUGAGGACUACCCAGCCACGUGG